AAAAGGUUGCAAGAUAGUGACUAAUCCCAACUAAAGUUGUGAUACCUCUAAAAACAUAAAUUACGAGUUGGUCAUAGAUGGACGCUUUGGAUCGUUAGAUCCGGAUCCAAUACCUUCUUGUUAAAAUUGUAUAGAGGCGAAAUGUUCGAAUCUUUAUUCUUUUGGAAAGAAGAAAGAAUCACAAAGUUGUUUGAGGUUAAUUCACUUAGAUGUUAGUGGCACUUGUCCA
Molecule: long non-coding RNA, 229 nt
Filed under: Malus domestica (apple)
Lineage: Eukaryota; Viridiplantae; Streptophyta; Magnoliopsida; Rosales; Rosaceae
Description: long non-coding RNA (MDOM_LNC020887)
Source: RNAcentral